AGUGAACGCUGGCGGUAGGCCUAACACAUGCAAGUCGAACGGCAGCACAGUAAGAGCUUGCUCUUACGGGUGGCGAGUGGCGGACGGGUGAGGAAUACAUCGGAAUCUACUUUUUCGUGGGGGAUAACGUAGGGAAACUUACGCUAAUACCGCAUACGACCUACGGGUGAAAGCAGGGGAUCUUCGGACCUUGCGCGAUUGAAUGAGCCGAUGUCGGAUUAGCUAGUUGGCGGGGUAAAGGCCCACCAAGGCGACGAUCCGUAGCUGGUCUGAGAGGAUGAUCAGCCACACUGGAACUGAGAAAAGGUCCAGACUCCGACGGGAGGCAGCAGUGGGGAAUAUUGGACAAUGGGCGCAAGCCAGAUCCAGCCAUACCGCGUGGGUGAAGAAGGCCUGCGGGUUGUAAAGCCCUUUUGUUGGGACAGAAAAGCAGCAGGUUGAUACCCCGCUGUUCUGACGGUACCCAAAGAAUAAGCAACGGCUAACUUCGUG
RNAcentral lists this ribosomal RNA (492 nucleotides) under uncultured bacterium. Its description in RNAcentral is "partial 16S ribosomal RNA". It matches the Rfam family "Bacterial small subunit ribosomal RNA", at positions 29 to 507 of the family's 1533-position model. The record is from RNAcentral.